GAGUAAAAGUAGGAAACCAACAUCACAGCUGUUGUUACCGCCAUCACCAAAACAUAAUAUGUAAUUCAAGGGCCUUUAUCUGAACCUAAUGGAUGUAGCGGGCUUUGUUAGUUUGCCUGAUUUUGUCAUCCAUUUCAUUUUAUGAGUUUUUUAAUUUAAAUGUAUUAAAAAGGAAUUGUUCCAAAGUCUUAAGUCCCAGAGGCCAAAAGAGAUGACUAUGUUUGGGGCUUACAAAUAUAUGAAAUUUUGCUUUGUAGACAUGUUACUGUCUGCUAAUACCAUUUUCCUUUGCCCCUAGAUAAAUGAGAUGUCGAAGGAAGUCACCAAAUUGAAGGAGGCCUUGAACAGCCUCUCCCAGCUCUCCUACUCAACAAGCUCAUCCAAAAGGCAGAGUCAGCAGCUGGAGGCGCUGCAGCAGCAAGUCAAACAGCUCCAGAACCAGCUGGCGGAAUGCAAGAAACAACACCAGGAGGUCAUAUCAGUUUACAGAAUGCAUCUUCUGUAUGCUGUGCAGGUAUGGUUAUGCCCCUUGAAGUAUCUGGACAUCCUAAAGAAAU
This 557-nucleotide small RNA is filed under the name Pan troglodytes (chimpanzee). Its description in RNAcentral is "retained intron". The record is from RNAcentral. Lineage: Eukaryota; Metazoa; Chordata; Mammalia; Primates; Hominidae.